CUAUCGCUUACAGAUGGGCCCGCGGUGCAUUAGCUAGUUGGUAGGGUAAUGGCCUACCAAGGCAACGAUGCAUAGCCGACCUGAGAGGGUGAUCGGCCACACUGGGACUGAGACACGGCCCAGACUCCUACGGGAGGCAGCAGUAGGGAAUCUUCCGCAAUGGACGAAAGUCUGACGGAGCAACGCCGCGUGUAUGAAGAAGGUUUUCGGAUCGUAAAGUACUGUUGUUAGAGAAGAACAAGGAUAAGAGUAACUGCUUGUCCCUUGACGGUAUCUAACCAGAAAGCCACGGCUAACUACGUGCCAGCAGCCGCGGUAAUACGUAGGUGGCAAGCGUUGUCCGGAUUUAUUGGGCGUAAAGCGCGCGCAGGCGGUCUUUUAAGUCUGAUGUGAAAGCCCCCGGCUUAACCGGGGAGGGUCAUUGGAAACUGGAAGACUGGAGUG
Molecule: ribosomal RNA, 444 nt
Filed under: Listeria monocytogenes
Lineage: Bacteria; Bacillati; Bacillota; Bacilli; Caryophanales; Listeriaceae
Description: bacterial SSU rRNA
Rfam family: Bacterial small subunit ribosomal RNA
Source: RNAcentral